GAUGAACGCUGGCGGCGUGCCUAAUACAUGCAAGUCGAGCGAAUGGAUUAAGAGCUUGCUCUUAUGAAGUUAGCGGCGGACGGGUGAGUAACACGUGGGUAACCUGCCCAUAAGACUGGGAUAACUCCGGGAAACCGGGGCUAAUACCGGAUAAUAUUUUGAACUGCAUGGUUCAAAAUUGAAAGGCGGCUUCGGCUGUCACUUAUGGAUGGACCCGCGUCGCAUUAGCCAGUUGGUGAGGUAACGGCUCACAAAGGCAACGAUGCGUAGCCGACCUGAGAGGGUGAUCGGCCACACUGGGACUGAGACACGGCCCAGACUCCUACGGGAGGCAGCAGUAGGGAAUCUUCCGCAAUGGACGAAAGUCUGACGGAGCAACGCCGCGUGAGUGAUGAAGGCUUUCGGGUCGUAAAACUCUGUUGUUAGGGAAGAACAAGUGCUAGUUGAAUAAGCUGGCACCUUGACGGUACCUAACCAGAAAGCCACGGCUAACUACGUACCAGCCGCCGCCGUAA
This 515-nucleotide ribosomal RNA is filed under the name uncultured bacterium. RNAcentral describes it as "partial 16S ribosomal RNA". It matches the Rfam family "Bacterial small subunit ribosomal RNA", at positions 28 to 523 of the family's 1533-position model. The record is from RNAcentral.